This 571-nucleotide ribosomal RNA is filed under the name uncultured bacterium. RNAcentral describes it as "bacterial SSU rRNA". It matches the Rfam family "Bacterial small subunit ribosomal RNA", at positions 415 to 982 of the family's 1533-position model. The record is from RNAcentral.
UCUUCGGAUCGUAAACCUCUUUCGAUGGGAAAGAAGCUCCCGACUUAACACGUCGGGAUUGACGGUACCCAGAGAAGAAGCCACGGCUAACUCCGUGCCAGCAGCCGCGGUAAUACGGAGGUGGCGAGCGUUACUCGGAUUCAUUGGGUGUAAAGGGCAGGUAGGCGUCCCGGCAAGUUUUAGGUGAAAUCCUUUCGCUUAACGAAAGAACUGCCUGAAAAACUGUCGGGAUUGAGGCCAAAAGAGGAGAGCGGAAUUCCCGGUGUAAGGGUGAAAUCUGUAGAUAUCGGGAGGAACACCAGUAGCGAAGGCGGCUCUCUGGUGUGGUCCUGACGCUGAGCUGCGAAAGCUAGAGUAGCAAACAGGAUUAGAUACCCUGGUAGUUCUAGCCGUAAACGAUGAGCACUAGGUGUUGGAGGUUAAACCUUCAGCGCCGCAAGAUAACUCGUUAAGUGCUCCACCUGGGGACUACGACCGCAAGGUUAAAACUCAAAGGAAUUGACGGGGGCCCGCACAGGCGGUGGAACAUGUGGUUCAAUUCGACGAUACGCGAAGAACCUCACCAGGGCUU